GAAGAAUUGAGCUUACAAUAGUACACAAAAAGAGUUAGAAAGAUUUGCUUUUAUCAUGAUACAAUCUGAUCCAUACACUUCUCAUGAUCCUCUCUCUAAAAAAGAAUGACUUACAAUAGCAAACUAAAAGUUCGGAAUUUUGUCAGGAUAAAGACUUAAAUCAACUAGAGGAGAGCCAAGGAUUUGGUGCUACAUAAGUGUAACCUUGAAAGUGUUCGCCUGUUGUCGGAGUAGAUGCUGGUGAGUCAUCCGGUGGCAUCGUAGUCCAACAUUUAUCGAAAUUGGCUGUGCAAUCUCUGCCAAUUACAUCUGGUUUGAACUUAGGCUGUAGUUCUCUGGCAUCAAGUUUCUUCCAGUUGAUUGUGCGGAACCACUUGUGACUUUUGAUCUCAUCCCCUCCUCUUGGUCCACUGCCUAAUCUUUUGGAUGGGUCCUUCUGUAGCAAUCCUUUGAGCAGAGAGUGAGCUUCACCAGUCAGACGUGGUAGAAGUUUCAGUUUCUCGCUGAUGAUCUUCUCCUGAAGCUUCUUUCUAUUUGCAUGUGUGAAAGGUGGCUGACCAGUCAGCAUCUCAUACAGAAGUACCCCAACGCUCCACCAGUCAGCAUCUUUAUUGUGGCCCUUGGACUGUAUAAUCUCCGGAGCCAUGUAUUCCAUGGUUCCACACAUUGAAUUAGAUCUGCUUGAUUCAUCAAUCUCUUUUGCCAGUCCAAAAUCUGUCAGCAUGACAUGUCCAUCACCAUCCAUGAGAAUAUUUUCUGGUUUGAGGUCUCGAUGCACGAUCCCUCUCUGGUGAAGAUGUGAAACAGCAGAAACUAUCUCAGCAGCAUAAAUCCUUGCCUGGUCCUCACUGAAAAUCCCUUGUCUGUAUAAAUGAUAGAAAAGAUGUCCUCCAUUUAUAAAAUCCAAAAUCAAGUAAAGCUUAGACUUCGUCUGAAAUGAGUAUCUAAGCUGCACAAUAAAAGGGUGCUCAACUUUGGUGAGAAUAUCCCUCUCAGCUCUCAUAUAAUCCACAUGGUUAUUCUUGAUUACUGUGUCCUUCCUCAUCACUUUCAUGGCUAAUAUUCCAUCACCCUCACCCUCACCACCAUACCCCUUCAUCUUCACCUGAAAAACCUUCCCAAAAGAACCUUUUCCAAUCAUCCUCAAGAUCUCAAAAUCCCCUGGCCCAAAUUUUGUUACAGCUGACCCCUCAUCUCCACUAAUCUCUUCAAUCCCAUCAGAACAUUCAGUUUGGUGAGUACCUACAUGAGUAUUAACUUUAUCACUAUCACUUUCUCCCUGGGGGAGGCUUUGCCGAUGGAAACUCAGCCAUUACUUCAAUAAGACUUCUUUGACUUGCUACAAUCCAUUGAGAAUACUCAUCCUUGCCCUGAGGAGAUGCCAAGAACUUGAGCUUUUCUGCUUCACUAGGUUCAGCUGCAUGGGCAGCCAAUGCAACCAAAGUAGCCUUCCGCGGUGGAUUCAGAAGAUCUGCAUAACAAGCAAGUGCAGCACGUAGAGUGCAGGGACCAGGAAAAGGUGGGGGUAACGAGCCUCCUCCAGCUGUACCAUCCUCCUUGUCGGUAUGAAUAGAGAAUAUCAAGUCUAAUGACUGCCCCAGCAAUCUCGCAGCUUCCUCAACAGUAUCUUCAGAAUUUUCAGCAUAAACACCCACAUGAUCUCCUGUUUCAUAGGAAAUCCCAGUGCCAGAUAUAUCAAACUCCAAGUGUAUACAUGAGCGAUCAGACUCGGGUGUGUGAAGCUCUCUCUGAACAGCCACAUUGACUUUGCAUGGGUGGUGGAUAUCAUAUGUGGUAUUACCAUUAGCCAUGCCUGCAUGCUUAUCCUCAAGACUCAUAGUGGUAUCAUGGAUAACCAAACGAUAUUCAGGAAUUGCAGCUGUAUAUGGAGUGGCAGCAGAAUUUGCAUCAUCCUCGUCUCUAAGAAUUUGAUCCAAUUCUGGCCAGAGCUGUUCUCGCCAGGCAGAAAAAUCAUCUUCAAUGCACUGAUCAUCAUCACCAAGGCCAACA
This 2010-nucleotide unclassified non-coding RNA is filed under the name Hevea brasiliensis (rubber tree). The record is from RNAcentral. Lineage: Eukaryota; Viridiplantae; Streptophyta; Magnoliopsida; Malpighiales; Euphorbiaceae.